AGCGAACGUUAGCGGCGCGCCUAACACAUGCAAGUCGCACGAGAAAGGGAGCAAUCCCCGGUACAGUGGCGCACGGGUGAGUAACACGUAGAUGACCUUCCCUGGAGUGGUGGAUAACCUGCCGAAAGGCGGGCUAAUACAGCAUGGGACCACAUGGUUUUGACCGAGUGGUGAAAGCGGGCCUCUGUUCACAAGCUCGCGCUCUGGGAUGGGUCUGCGUCCCAUCAGCUAGUUGGUGAGGUAAUGGCUCACCAAGGCAUCGACGGGUAGCUGGUCUGAGAGGAUGACCAGCCACACUGGAACUGAGACACGGUCCAGACUCCUACGGGAGGCAGCAGUGGGGAAUAUUGCGCAAUGGGCGAAAGCCUGACGCAGCGACGCCGCGUGGGUGAUGAAGGCCUUCGGUCGUAAGACCUUGUUGGAGAGGGACGAACGAACU
Molecule: ribosomal RNA, 439 nt
Filed under: uncultured bacterium
Lineage: Bacteria
Description: bacterial SSU rRNA
Rfam family: Bacterial small subunit ribosomal RNA
Source: RNAcentral